AUGAAAUUCAGCACAUUUCAAACAUAGCCAGAAUACUGAAUAAACUCAGACCAUACAAAGAUUCAUUUCUUAAGUAAUUCAUGAUUAACAGACACACUUACCUGGAAGCAUAAGAAAAGAAGGUUAGGAUGAAACUACAUCAUUCUUCCACUGAGUAAAAAUAUCUUGACUUUCCUCCUUGAAAUGGAAAGGAAUCUAAAAAAUAAAAAUAGGAGUCACUUCUGGGAAUUUCCACGUCUUAAAUAUAGAUGAUAUUACAAAAUUUUAAAUCACUUAUGAUCUAAAAUACAAUUUAUCCAACCAAAGUCCUGCCCCAAAAAGCAGGAUGGUAUUUUCCCUUUUCUAUUUUAAUGGGUAAAAUGCAAAGCAUUUGUUUAAAAAAAAAAAAAGAUCAAGGUUUAAAAUAAAUGCCGAGAGCCAUGUAGAUACGUGUGUAAAAGCAAAGCAGAGUCACACUCUUGGAAAAGAACCCAGAAAAAGCAAACCUCGCAGGGAGGAAGGGUGCCCGCUGGCUCCCGAAGGCGCCGGGGCCUGGGCUGUGCGUCCGCAGCGAAGCCGCGGUUCAGGUGGGGUCGGGGGACCGCGCGCCGCGCCGCCACUUUUUUCUAAUGGUCGGUCGUAGGGAAGGAAGAAAUGUUACAAAACAGCAAACCCCCGGGAAGUUGGAGAGCCCAGCUCCCCCGGCAGCGCGCCCCCACCGCCCCCGCAGACGNNNNNNNNNNNNNNNNNNNNNNNNNNNNNNNNNNNNNNNNNCUCCUCCCCUGACGGCCCCCUCCGCCCGCUCCGUCCAGCCCUGUGCCCCUCGGCCUUUCAGGAAUCCACCGAGCGCCCCUCGGUCCACGGAGAUCAACGAGGACGCAAAAGAGCAACUGGAAGAGAAACGCUGGGUUUUUUCAUCCACACACAGAGGCCCCAUUCAUCCGUCCAGCCCCUGAGUGCCUGUCCUGGCAACGCCAGACUACAGGUUAGGAGUUACAGGACAGCCCUGCUUCUCCUCGCCUCCUAGUAAAGCACACACGAACACUCGGCUCCUCGGCUCCGGGAAGCACAUUGUCUCCUUGCAGUUCCAAACAUCAGGUGCCCUAAGAAGGUGGUCAUCUCUCGCUGGUAAUAGAAAAGGAGAGACACAGGAAGGCAGAACCACUGGCAAGACUCCCUAGAGGUCAAGAUGAGAGGGGAGGUGCCACCAUGGAAAAUCACUGGAGGUGAGGCACAGAUACACAGAGGACAGGGGUCUGUGCAGCUGGGCUUCUCCUGUUAGGAAGAUGGGAAGGGUUGUCACCCACUUGUCUGCCACGUGCCUGCCUCACACUGCAAGAGCUGCUCCCAGGGUGAGCUCCUGCAAUCCCCACAGCAAUGCCAUGGGAGUCUGCAAAAACCUCCCCAUUCUACAGAUGGGGAAAAUGAGACUCAAAGGUGCUAAGAAGCCUCUCGGACAGAUAUAUGGUAAAGCCAGGAUUUUUCUGACUUCAAAACUGAAGCUCUAAAAAGAAAAAGAAAUGCAAGCCUCGACUUCCUCGAGGAUCUAACACGGUGGUCCUCAUGGGUGGUUCUCCAACAGGUGGGUGGCUGCCAGUGGUAACCUGCAGACACGCGGCUGGCAUCCGAAGAUCCUCCCCAGACUCCUGAAGCCCUCAUUAUUCACAAGAAAUCACAGUGACAAACUGCUCUUGGACAAGCCUUUCAGAGUAUCGAAGACAGAGACAAUAAGAAGGCGCUAAAAAUAAAAGCUAAAUCCAGAAAGCA
This 1746-nucleotide long non-coding RNA is filed under the name Bos mutus (wild yak). RNAcentral describes it as "lncRNA (ENSBMUG00000002801.1)". The record is from RNAcentral. Lineage: Eukaryota; Metazoa; Chordata; Mammalia; Artiodactyla; Bovidae.